AUGAUCUGUAAUUGAAAGGUCCGCCGCCUUAGGAUGGGUCUGCGGCAGAUUAGGUUGUUGUUGGGGUAACGGCCCAACAAGCCUGUAAUCUGUACGGGUUGUGGGAGCAAGAACCCGGAGAUGGAUUCUGAGACACGAAUCCAGGCCCUACGGGGCGCAGCAGGCGCGAAAACUUUACAAUGCGGGAAACCGUGAUAAGGGAACCCCGAGUGCCCGUAAAUUCGGGCUGUUAACCUGUUUAAAAAGCAGGUGGAGAAAGGGCCGGGCAAGACCGGUGCCAGCCGCCGCGGUAAUACCGGCGGCUCGAGUGGUGGCCACUAUUACUGGGCUUAAAGCGUCCGUAGCUGGAUUGUUAAGUCUCUUGGGAAAUCUACCGGCUUAACCGAUAGGCGUUCAAGGGAUACUGGCAAUCUAGGGACCGGGAGAGGUGAGAGGUACUCCAGGGGUAGGAGUGAAAUCCUGUAAUCCUUGGGGGACCACCUGUGGCGAAGGCGUCUCACCAGAACGGCUCCGACAGUGAGGGACGAAAGCUGGGGGAGCAAACCGGAUUAGAUACCCGGGUAGUCCCAGCUGUAAACGAUGCGCGUUAGGUGUAUCGGUGACCACGAGUCACCGAGGUGCCGAAGAGAAAUCGUGA
Molecule: ribosomal RNA, 637 nt
Filed under: uncultured archaeon
Lineage: Archaea
Description: bacterial SSU rRNA
Rfam family: Archaeal small subunit ribosomal RNA
Source: RNAcentral